GAGUAACACGUGGGCAACCUGCCCUGCAGACUGGGAUAACUCCGGGAAACCGGAGCUAAUACCGGGUAAUACAUCGCACCGCAUGGUGCAAUGUUGAAAGUUGGCUUUCUGAGCUAACACUGCAGGAUGGGCCCGCGGCGCAUUAGCUAGUUGGUAAGGUAAUGGCUUACCAAGGCAACGAUGCGUAGCCGACCUGAGAGGGUGAUCGGCCACACUGGGACUGAGACACGGCCCAGACUCCUACGGGAGGCAGCAGUAGGGAAUCUUCCGCAAUGGACGAAAGUCUGACGGAGCAACGCCGCGUGAGUGACGAAGGCCUUCGGGUCGUAAAGCUCUGUUGUUAGGGAAGAACAAGUACCGUUCGAAUAGGGCGGUACCUUGACGGUACCUAACCAGAAAGCCACGGCUAACUACGUGCCAGCAGCCGCGGUAAUACGUAGGUGGCAAGCGUUGUCCGGAAUUAUUGGGCGUAAAGCGCGCGCAGGCGGUCUUUUAAGUCUGAUGUGAAAGCCCACGGCUCACCCGUGGAGGGUCAUUGGAAACUGGAGGACUUGAGUGCAGAGAGGAGAGUGGAAUUCUACGUGUAGCGGUGAAAUGCGUAGAUAUGUGGAGGAACACCAGUGGCGAAGGCGGCUUCUCUGGUCUUGUACUGACGCUGAGGCCGCGAAAGGGUGGGGGAGCAACAGGAUUAAGAUACCCUGGUAGUCCACGCCGUAACGAUGGAGGGCUAGGUGUUGGGGGGUUCCACCCUCA
RNAcentral lists this ribosomal RNA (753 nucleotides) under Guptibacillus hwajinpoensis. RNAcentral's name for it is "bacterial SSU rRNA". It matches the Rfam family "Bacterial small subunit ribosomal RNA", at positions 108 to 842 of the family's 1533-position model. The record is from RNAcentral. Lineage: Bacteria; Bacillati; Bacillota; Bacilli; Caryophanales; Guptibacillaceae.